This 440-nucleotide ribosomal RNA is filed under the name uncultured bacterium. Its description in RNAcentral is "bacterial SSU rRNA". It matches the Rfam family "Bacterial small subunit ribosomal RNA", at positions 339 to 796 of the family's 1533-position model. The record is from RNAcentral.
CUACGGGAGGCAGCAGUGAGGAAUAUUGGACAAUGGGGGAAACCCUGAUCCAGCAAUGCCGCGUGAGUGAUGAAGGCCUUAGGGUUGUAAAGCUCUUUCGACGGGGAAGAUAAUGACGGUACCCGUAGAAGAAGCCCCGGCUAACUUCGUGCCAGCAGCCGCGGUGAUACGAGGGGAGCUAGCGUUGUUCGGAAUUACUGGGCGUAAAGCGCACGCAGGCGGCCAAAUAAGUCAGAGGUGAAAUCCCGGAGCUUAACUCCGGAAUUGCCUUUGAAACUGUUUGGCUGGAGUCCGAGAGAGGGUAGUGGAAUUUCCAGUGUAGCGGUGAAAUGCGUAGAUAUUGGAAGGAACACCAGUGGCGAAGGCGGCUACCUGGCUCGGUACUGACGCUCAUGCACGAAAGCGUGGGGAGCAAACAGGAUUAGAUACCCUUGUAGUCC